GAUGAAGAACGUAGUGAAAUGCGAUACGUAAUGUGAAUUGCAGAAUUCAGUGAAUCAUCGAAUCUUUGAACGCAUAUUGCGCUCUCUGGUAUUCCGGAGAGCAUGCUUGUUUGAGUAUCAGUAAACACCUCAACUUCCAUAUCUUUUUUGAAAUGGGAGUUGGACUUGAGUGAUCCCAACGCUUUUCCUCACCGAAAAGUGGCGGGUUACUUGAAAUGCAGGUGCAGCUGGACUUUUCUCUGAGCUAUAAGCAUAUCUAUUUAGUCUGCCUAAAAAACAGAUUAUUACCUUUGCUGCAGCUAACAUAAAGGAGAUUAGUUCUUGUGCUGACUGAUGCAGGAUUCACAAAGACAGGCUUCGGCCGACUUUGUAAACUCGAUCUCAAAUCAAGUAAGACUACCCGCUGAACUUAAGCAUAUCAAUAAGCGAGG
This 431-nucleotide unclassified non-coding RNA is filed under the name soil metagenome. Its description in RNAcentral is "partial contains 5.8S ribosomal RNA, internal transcribed spacer 2, and large subunit ribosomal RNA". The stretch from base 1 to 120 matches the Rfam family "5.8S ribosomal RNA", at positions 35 to 154 of the family's 154-position model. The record is from RNAcentral.